CUGGGUGACGAUUGAAACACUGUCACUUCUACUGUCCCUGUGACUACCAGGAUCCCCAGUGGGGUUCAUGAGGCAGCUCUCCUAUCCUGCUGUCGGUCAAGUUACAUGGGGUUCCAGUUGUUUCCAGCUGCUGACUGCACUUCUGUCUGGAGCAUUUGCUGUCCUGAGGCACGCAAAGACAGUGACAGUCACCCACUGAACCUCAGCUUGGGAUAGUCUCCAUUAAUGUCUCACAGUGUCCCGGCUGCCCUUUGGUGUGUCUACUGUAUCUAGACCAAACUGGACACUUCUGAGCAGGCUACACCUCUUAGAGCUCUGGCCGUCAUGCCACCUGACUUGUGGGGAUGCUCCACAGAACCACAGAAGAGCUGAGGUGGUGAUUAGCACCCCAAGAUGCUCUCCUUUGGGUGACUUCCUCUCAGAAGAGUGGCAUCUGACCUUUGAAGACGUACUAUUCGGUUUUGUCACACUUGAGAAUCCCCCCACCCCCCGAAACACUUUGCCUGCUCUGGCGACUGGCUCUCUAUUCUCUGGGACUCCCUUUGUUUUCCAACUCAAAUUCCAAAACUAGAAUGUCCUGUCCCAUUCCAGAUGAAGUUGACUAUGCUUCCCCCUCACCCCCAGCUCAGGGACACCUGAGUGGCCACAUGGGCCAUUGCUCAGGAACCUGAGCCCCUGGUCAAGCAGGAAGCAUGAGGUCUUUGUGUGUUGAGCACAGCAGGAGUCUGCUCUACAGCUUCUGUGGUCACUACGUGCUCCCUCCAUAGGAGGCAGUGCUCCUUACCCUUUUCAAGAGCCUUUCCUGAACACAGGGCACUGUCCCCUUGUGUCCCAUGUUGCACCUCUGUGGUCAUUUCC
RNAcentral lists this long non-coding RNA (858 nucleotides) under Rattus norvegicus (Norway rat). RNAcentral's name for it is "long non-coding RNA NONRATT011664". Lineage: Eukaryota; Metazoa; Chordata; Mammalia; Rodentia; Muridae. The record is from RNAcentral.